Molecule: small nucleolar RNA, 126 nt
Organism: Jaculus jaculus (lesser Egyptian jerboa)
Lineage: Eukaryota; Metazoa; Chordata; Mammalia; Rodentia; Dipodidae
Source: Ensembl
UUUCCCAUUUAUUUUCUGCUAUAGUCUCUCAGUGAUAUGAGCAGUUAUAUGCAUAGGAUAAAACAAUACUGGACCAUUGCAAAUUGAGGUGAAGUAUUUCAUCUCCUCUACAUGGUCUAGACAUUG